CUUGGUCAUUUAGAGGAAGUAAAAGUCGUAACAAGGUUUCCGUAGGUGAACCUGCGGAAGGAUCAUUAUCCAUCUCAAACCAGCUGCGGUCGCGGCCCCCGAUAACACGGGUGGUAGGGGUAACGCCCUCACGCGCCGCACGUCUGAAUCCUUUUUUUACGAGCACCUUUCGUUCUCCUUCGGUGGGGCAACCUGCCGUUGGAACAAACAAAACCUUUUUUGCAUCUAGCAUUACCUGUUCUGAUACAAACAAUCGUUACAACUUUCAACAAUGGAUCUCUUGGCUCUGGCAUCGAUGAAGAACGCAGCGAAAUGCGAUAAGUAGUGUGAAUUGCAGAAUUCAGUGAAUCAUCGAAUCUUUGAACGCACAUUGCGCCCCUUGGUAUUCCAUGGGGCAUGCCUGUUCGAGCGUCAUCUACACCCUCAAGCUCUGCUUGGUGUUGGGCGUCUGUCCCGCCUCUGCGCGCGGACUCGCCCCAAAUUCAUUGGCAGCGGUCCUUGCCUCCUCUCGCGCAGCACAUUGCGUUUCUUGAGGGGCGCGGGUCGCGUCCACGAAGCAACAUUUUAGUCUUUGACCUCGGAUCAGGUAGGGAUACCCGCUGAACUUAAGCAUAUCAAUAAGCGGAGGAA
This 630-nucleotide ribosomal RNA is filed under the name fungal sp. RNAcentral's name for it is "eukaryotic LSU rRNA". The stretch from base 261 to 414 matches the Rfam family "5.8S ribosomal RNA". Lineage: Eukaryota; Fungi. The record is from RNAcentral.